This 521-nucleotide ribosomal RNA is filed under the name uncultured bacterium. RNAcentral describes it as "bacterial SSU rRNA". It matches the Rfam family "Bacterial small subunit ribosomal RNA", at positions 8 to 526 of the family's 1533-position model. The record is from RNAcentral.
AGAGUUUGAUCAUGGCUCAGAGUGAACGCUGGCGGCAGGCCUAACACAUGCAAGUCGAGCGGCAGCGCGGGGCAACCUGGCGGCGAGCGGCGGACGGGUGAGGAAUGCAUCGGAAUCUACCCUGUCGUGGGGGAUAACGUAGGGAAACUUACGCUAAUACCGCAUACGACCGAGAGGUGAAAGUGGGGGACCUUCGGGCCUCACGCGAUUGGAUGGGCCGAUGCCGGAUUAGCUAGUUGGUAGGGUAAAGGCCUACCAAGGCGACGAUCCGUAGCUGGUCUGAGAGGAUGAUCAGCCACAUUGGGACUGAGACACGGCCCAAACUCCUACGGGAGGCAGCAGUGGGGAAUAUUGGACAAUGGGCGCAAGCCUGAUCCAGCCAUGCCGCGUGUGUGAAGAAGGCCUUCGGGUUGUAAAGCACUUUUGUCCGGAACGAAACGGCUACGACUAAUACUCGUGGCUACUGACGGUACCGGAAGAAUAAGCACCGGCUAACUACGUGCCAGCCGCCGCGGUAAUAC